AAAAAAAAUAAUUGAUAUGGCUAGAAAAGAAAUUCAAAUUUGCCGCCUUGAGUGUUGUAGUGUUGGAGAUUAAGGCCUUGGUUUCGCACGAUAGUACCGGUCAAAUAUUUGAAAAAAAGGGGUGUGAGUGUUUCAUAACCGGCACAUAUCAGGUAAAAGUGUAAUGGGACUUGUGCAGGUGUUUGGGGUGACUUUGGGCCUGUUAGAUAUGAUAUUUGGAGGUGCAAAGAAACCGGAUGUAACAUUUUCCUAGAUUGUAACUGCUCGUGCAUGCUGGGAGUCUACAAGCCUCAUGUUGAUGUUGUGAAGAUGCACUGGAUUUGACCGUGUGUGUUGUGGAUUGUGGAAUUGAAUAUACAGUUUGUAAUUGCUCAUCCUAUGUGUUCUAAUUCACGGAGACAAUGUCUUUCAGUCAUUUCACCCAAGGAGGCAUGCAUAUACGGAUUUAUAGGCUUUGAUAACAAACAACCAAAAUGGCGGCCGGACUGAAUUAGAAAGUGUCUGAGUGCAUGUAGGAUAUCUGAACGGAGAAUAGGAGUACUGCAUCCCAUCUGAUCCUGCAGUCAUUUCACCCAAGGAGGCAUGCAUAUACGGAUUUAUAGGCUUUGAUAACAAACAACCAAAAUGGCGGCCGGACUGAAUUAGAAAGUGUCUGAGUGCAUGUAGGAUAUCUGAACGGAGAAUAGGAGUACUGCAUCCCAUCUGAUCCUGCAGUCAUUUCACCCAAGGAGGCAUGCAUAUACGGAUUUAUAGGCUUUGAUAACAAACAACCAAAAUGGCGGCCGGACUGAAUUAGAAAGUGUCUGAGUGCAUGUAGGAUAUCUGAACGGAGAAUAGGAGUACUGCAUCCCAUCUGAUCCUGCAGUCAUUUCACCCAAGGAGGCAUGCAUAUACGGAUUUAUAGGCUUUGAUAACAAACAACCAAAAUGGCGGCCGGACUGAAUUAGAAAGUGUCUGAGUGCAUGUAGGAUAUCUGAACGGAGAAUAGGAGUACUGCAUCCCAUCUGAUCCUGCAGUCAUUUCACCCAAGGAGGCAUGCAUAUACGGAUUUAUAGGCUUUGAUAACAAACAACCAAAAUGGCGGCCGGACUGAAUUAGAAAGUGUCUGAGUGCAUGUAGGAUAUCUGAACGGAGAAUAGGAGUACUGCAUCCCAUCUGAUCCUGCAGUCAUUUCACCCAAGGAGGCAUGCAUAUACGGAUUUAUAGGCUUUGAUAACAAACAACCAAAAUGGCGGCCGGACUGAAUUAGAAAGUGUCUGAGUGCAUGUAGGAUAUCUGAACGGAGAAUAGGAGUACUGCAUCCCAUCUGAUCCUGCAGUCAUUUCACCCAAGGAGGCAUGCAUAUACGGAUUUAUAGGCUUUGAUAACAAACAACCAAAAUGGCGGCCGGACUGAAUUAGAAAGUGUCUGAGUGCAUGUAGGAUAUCUGAACGGAGAAUAGGAGUACUGCAUCCCAUCUGAUCCUGCAGUCAUUUCACCCAAGGAGGCAUGCAUGUACGGAUUUAUAGGCUUUGACAACAAACAACCAAAAUGGCGGCCGGUGAAUUAGAAAGUGUCUGAGUGCAUGUAGGAUAUCUGAACGGAGAAUAGGAGUACUGCAUCCCAUCUGAUCCUGCAGGUAAGUGUUUAUUUGUUUACAAUGACAGUCGGGAUGGAAUGUCAAUGAGUUCAACUGUCAAGUAAAGUUGCAUCA
Molecule: long non-coding RNA, 1693 nt
Organism: Ostrea edulis (European flat oyster)
Lineage: Eukaryota; Metazoa; Mollusca; Bivalvia; Ostreida; Ostreidae
Exons: 8
Source: RefSeq, a predicted model, not a curated record